UUUGAUGGCGACCGGCGCACGGGUGAGUAACACGUAUCCAACCUGCCGAUGACUCGGGGAUAGCCUUUCGAAAGAAAGAUUAAUACCCGAUGGCAUAGUUCUUCCGCAUGGUGGAACUAUUAAAGAAUUUCGGUCAUCGAUGGGGAUGCGUUCCAUUAGGUUGUUGGCGUGGUAACGGCCCACCAAGCCUUCGAUGGAUAGGGGUUCUGAGAGGAAGGUCCCCCACAUUGGAACUGAGACACGGUCCAAACUCCUACGGGAGGCAGCAUG
Molecule: ribosomal RNA, 270 nt
Filed under: uncultured bacterium
Lineage: Bacteria
Description: partial 16S ribosomal RNA
Rfam family: Bacterial small subunit ribosomal RNA
Source: RNAcentral